RNAcentral lists this transfer RNA (71 nucleotides) under Bos taurus (domestic cattle). It matches the Rfam family "tRNA". Rfam says of the family: Transfer RNA (tRNA) molecules are approximately 80 nucleotides in length. The record is from Rfam by way of RNAcentral. Lineage: Eukaryota; Metazoa; Chordata; Mammalia; Artiodactyla; Bovidae. RNAcentral also lists the same sequence under 3 other names.
UCCCUGGUGGCUCAGUGGUAAAGAAUCUGCUUGCAAGGCAGAAGACUCAGGUUCAAUCCCUGUGUUGGGAA